This 278-nucleotide ribosomal RNA is filed under the name uncultured bacterium. RNAcentral describes it as "partial 16S ribosomal RNA". It matches the Rfam family "Bacterial small subunit ribosomal RNA", at positions 28 to 297 of the family's 1533-position model. The record is from RNAcentral.
GAUGAACGCUAGCGGCAGGCUUAAUACAUGCAAGUCGAGGGGCAGCAGGGGUGUAGCAAUACAUCUGCUGGCGACCGGCAAACGGGUGCGGAACACGUACGCAACUUACCCAUAACUGGGGAGUAGCCCGGGGAAACCCGGAUUAAUACCUCGUAAGAUAAUGGAGUGGCAUCACUUUAUUAUUAUAGCGUCCGGCGGUUAUGGAGUGGGCGUGCGGCUGAUUAGGUAGUUGGUGCGGGAACGGCCCACCAAGCCUGCGAUCAGUAACUGGUGUGAGA